RNAcentral lists this ribosomal RNA (420 nucleotides) under uncultured bacterium. RNAcentral's name for it is "bacterial SSU rRNA". It matches the Rfam family "Bacterial small subunit ribosomal RNA", at positions 356 to 773 of the family's 1533-position model. The record is from RNAcentral.
GAGGAAUAUUGGUCAAUGGUCGCAAGACUGAACCAGCCAUGCCGCGUGCAGGAAGACGGUCCUAUGGAUUGUAAACUGCUUUUAUACAGGAAGAAACCCUCCCACGUGUGGGAGCUUGACGGUACUGUAGGAAUAAGGAUCGGCUAACUCCGUGCCAGCAGCCGCGGUAAUACGGAGGAUCCAAGCGUUAUCCGGAAUCAUUGGGUUUAAAGGGUCCGUAGGCGGUCUUAUAAGUCAGUGGUGAAAGCCCAUCGCUCAACGAUGGAACUGCCAUCGAUACUGUAAGACUUGAAUGCUUAGGAAGUAACUAGAAUAUGUAGUGUAGCGGUGAAAUGCUUAGAUAUUGCAUGGAAUACCAAUUGCGAAGGCAGGUUACUACUAAGUGAUUGACGCUGAUGGACGAAAGCGUGGGGAGCGAAC